Molecule: long non-coding RNA, 200 nt
Filed under: Phoenix dactylifera (date palm)
Lineage: Eukaryota; Viridiplantae; Streptophyta; Magnoliopsida; Arecales; Arecaceae
Description: long non-coding RNA (PDAC_LNC001413)
Source: RNAcentral
AUGAGUUGAGUUGGAAUCGUUCCAACCCAUUGAAAGGAGUUUUCAAUGAUACUGAGAUGGAGAUCUCAAUAUGUCUCAUUACCAGUCAGAUUAGAAUCUAUGAGGUCACACACAUUAGAGGUUCUGAUUAUUAGGAUUGUCGAUUUGUGAUUUGGAAUCACAAUGUCAAUUGUCAAUAAGAUUGAUGUACAAAAUAACCC